UCUAUAGUUUAAGACUAACAACAAAAGGAGCAUAGUGAAAAGGAAAUUGAUUCAUUUCUUCCUAAUCCAAAUUUAGGAUCGAAUCGAGCAAACACAACAGGUGCCCCCGUCUUGAAAAAUUCCCAAUUAUCUCCCAAUCAUAGGUGGACAACUACAGCCUUCAAGAUAAUGCCAACAGGUGCCCCCCGUCCUGAAAAAUUCCCAAUUAUCUCCCAAUCAUAGGUGGACAACUACAGCCUUCAAGAUAAUGCAUAUGGAAGAUAAUGACCCAUAAAUAGCUCCCAAGUCGAAAAGCAUAUCAUUCAUUUUUUGGUCAAAGCCAAAUAUUGACCAAAAAAUGCCAGACAAUCAUAUCAUCAAAGAUAAAAACAUGGGUUUUGGCAUAAGCCAACAAUUAACCAAAACAGGGCUAACAUAAUCACAUCCUUAUGGAUCGAAAUUGGGUUCAUUUAAGCAAAUUCAUCCCUUGUCUAGCAACAAACCAAUCAAAAUUCAACC
Molecule: long non-coding RNA, 498 nt
Filed under: Actinidia chinensis (golden kiwifruit)
Lineage: Eukaryota; Viridiplantae; Streptophyta; Magnoliopsida; Ericales; Actinidiaceae
Description: long non-coding RNA (ACHI_LNC006743)
Source: RNAcentral